RNAcentral lists this non-coding RNA (21 nucleotides) under Arabidopsis thaliana (thale cress). Lineage: Eukaryota; Viridiplantae; Streptophyta; Magnoliopsida; Brassicales; Brassicaceae. The record is from RNAcentral.
ACGGUGGUCAUGGAAGUCGAA